CCGCUCAGAGAUCAGUACACACCCACUCUUGUGCGGGUACACACACACACACAUACACGCACUUCGGCACGCUAUUCUCUUCGAUUUCUCACUCUCCCAGUGUUUCUGGUGAGAGGCCCUCGUCGACGACUCAACGCAGUCUCAUUGCGCCUUUUUCCUGUGCUCUCAGUCGCUUCUGAGCAGCAGCAAGAUGUCCUUCAAAGAGAUGCGCCUUGCUUUUGAGGUGAGCAAGAAUAUUUACGAGAGUUCUCUCCUCACGUUCAAGGGCGUUGACGGAUAUGACGUGUACAACUGCUCUCUCCUGUUUCAGUAUAAGGGCAAGCACCACCUCUUUGGUCGAUUUGAGCGGCGGGAGAAGUCGUCGGAUUCGCGGGUGCGCCUCUUUGUGGAGACGGGGAAGGACGAAUACACUGUCGUACCGGACCAGCUCACAUACCAGUUGGAGGACCCCUUCGUUUCAAAGGUGCAGGGCAGCCUGUUUUUCGGCGGCACUCAAGUCAUCAAAAGCGGCGGUAAUGUGACGGGCUACUUCUGCGACUUUUACCACGGCAUGCCACAGCUACUCGCAUAUUACACCACGGGGCCUGAUCUCAUGAGGAGCAUCCGCAUUGUGCAACUUGCCGACGGCACCAUCGGCAUCUUCUCCCACCACAAGACGGAGAGCUCCUGCCUGAUCGGCUUCACCACCGUUAACUCUCUUAAUGAAGUUACGCGCGAGGUGAUUGCUGAGGCGAAGCCCAUCAAUAAUGCCCCCUUCCUGGACGCUUGGGGCGGCGUCAACCAGGCGUAUCUGCUCUCCAGCGGGAACAUAGGCUGCAUCUGCCACCACAGCUACCUUGACAAGGACGCGAACGGGGAGCAGCGCAACGUGUGCUGCAUCACAUCCUUUGUCUACGACCCGAAAACGAACGAUACGCACGGCUUUCAGCUAAUCGGGACGAGAGGAUGCUUUCCCGACUGCCCAUCAAAGUCGCCAUCGGUUGCCGACCGCGCGUUCGCCUCCGGCAUCGUCAUGCGCAACGAUGGCAAGUGCGACCUGUACAGCGGUCUUGGCGACACCCACGAGGGUCGCAUCACCAUUGACUACCCGUUCGAGGGGUACGGCACCGUUGUGGAUGAUUUGGUGUUUUAGAGGCUGGGACACGAACGUCGGUGAGCACCCCGUCCUUCGUAUCUCGCUGAUCCUCUUUCUUUCCCUUCGUUUGCAUUGACGGUGUUUGUAUGUGUGCUUGUCUUACUCUCCCCCCUGAGCGUCAUUGGAUGGCUUCAUUGGCCUCCCCCUCCAGCACUUUAUUGUUUGCUGCGCAUUUCUCCCAUUUUUCUGCUGUGAUUCCGCAUUUGUGCCGGUGUGGCGUUUCCUUUUCAUCUAGCUCCUCGUAAGACUGGCUGAGUAUAGCUACUCCUUCCUCUUCUCCAGUG
RNAcentral lists this unclassified non-coding RNA (1419 nucleotides) under Leishmania donovani. RNAcentral describes it as "gene:LdHU3.10.1800(CDS-product:Protein_of_unknown _function_(DUF1861)_putative)". The record is from RNAcentral. Lineage: Eukaryota; Euglenozoa; Kinetoplastea; Trypanosomatida; Trypanosomatidae.